ACCGAAUACAUUAGGCAUGGGAUAAUGGAACUAGGACCCUGUCCUCCUAUUUUCAGUUGGUUUUGGCAGCGCGAGGACUAGGGUAAUGAUUAAUAGGGAUAGUUGGGGGCAUUAAUAUUUAAUAUGUCAGAGGUGAAAUUCUUGGAUUUAUGAAAGAUUAACUUCUGCGAAAGCAUCUGCCAAGGAUGUUUUCAUUAAUCAAGAACGAAAGUUAGGGGAUCGAAGACGAUCAGAUACCGUCGUAGUCUUAACCAUAAACGAUGCCGACCAGCGAUUAGGAGACGUUGAAUACAAAACACCACCAUCG
Molecule: ribosomal RNA, 307 nt
Filed under: Acanthamoeba sp. ER8
Lineage: Eukaryota; Discosea; Longamoebia; Acanthamoebidae
Description: SSU rRNA
Rfam family: Eukaryotic small subunit ribosomal RNA
Source: RNAcentral